RNAcentral lists this ribosomal RNA (253 nucleotides) under uncultured bacterium. RNAcentral describes it as "partial 16S ribosomal RNA". It matches the Rfam family "Bacterial small subunit ribosomal RNA", at positions 524 to 776 of the family's 1533-position model. The record is from RNAcentral.
UACAGAGGGUGCGAGCGUUGUUCGGAAUUAUUGGGCGUAAAGGGCGCGUAGGCGGUGCGGUAAGUCACCUGUGAAAUCUCCUGGCUCAACUGGGAGCUUGCAGGCGAAACUGCCGUGCUGGAGUGUGGGAGAGGUGCGUGGAAUUCCUGGUGUAGCGGUGAAAUGCGUAGAUAUCUGGAGGAACACCGGUGGCGAAGGCGACAUCCUGGACCGGUAUUGACGCUGAGGCGCGAAAGCCAGGGGAGCAAACGGG